RNAcentral lists this ribosomal RNA (437 nucleotides) under uncultured bacterium. RNAcentral's name for it is "bacterial SSU rRNA". It matches the Rfam family "Bacterial small subunit ribosomal RNA", at positions 42 to 473 of the family's 1533-position model. The record is from RNAcentral.
UCAGGCCUAACACAUGCAAGUCGUGCGGAAAGGCCCCUUCGGGGGUACUCGAGCGGCGACGGGUGAGUAACACGUGAGUGACCUGCCCUUCACUCUGGGAUAACCCUCGGAAACGGGGGCUAAUACCGGAUAUGACCUGCUGCUGCAUGGUGGUGGGUGGAAAGGGUCCUGCUUUUGUGGGGUCUGGUGAGGGAUGGGCUCGCGGCCUAUCAGCUUGUUGGUGGGGUAAUGGCCUACCAAGGCGAUGACGGGUAGCCGGCCUGAGAGGGCGACCGGCCACAAGGGGAUUGUGACCCGGCCCAGACUCGUACGGGAGGCAGCAGUGGGGAAUAUUGCACAAUGAGCGAAAGCUUGAUGCAGCGACGCCGCGUGAGGGAUGAAGGCCUUCGGGUUGUAAACCUCNUCAGCUCUGAAGAANCUNCGNUNUGNGUGGUGAC